CCUACGGGAGGCAGCAGUGAGGAAUAUUGGUCAAUGGACGAGAGUCUGAACCAGCCAAGUAGCGUGAAGGAUGACUGCCCUAUGGGUUGUAAACUUCUUUUAUAUGGGAAUAAAAUGUUCCACGUGUGGGAUUUUGUAUGUACCAUAUGAAUAAGGAUCGGCUAACUCCGUGCCAGCAGCCGCGGUAAUACGGAGGAUCCGAGCGUUAUCCGGAUUUAUUGGGUUUAAAGGGAGCGUAGGUGGAUUGUUAAGUCAGUUGUGAAAGUUUGCGGCUCAACCGUAAAAUUGCAGUUGAAACUGGCAGUCUUGAGGACAGUAGAGGUGGGCGGAAUGCGUGGUGUAGCGGUGAAAUGCUUAGAUAUCACGAAGAACUCCGAUUGCGAAGGCAGUUCACUGGACUGCAACUGACACUGAGGCUCGAAAGUGUGGGUAUCAAACAGGAUUAGAUACCCCUGUAGUC
Molecule: ribosomal RNA, 460 nt
Filed under: uncultured bacterium
Lineage: Bacteria
Description: partial 16S ribosomal RNA
Rfam family: Bacterial small subunit ribosomal RNA
Source: RNAcentral